CAGAGACAUUAACAGAGUUAGAGACAUUAACACUUAACAACUUUACUUUCCCCUGGAGGCUGCCCAGUUUCUAACUGCUUAGUCUAAUCCUUAAUUUUCAGUCCAGUUCUAAGGAACCUAAUCUGACAGCACCUGUAUUAUUUCUUCUGUUUCAUUACCAAAUGUACUCUUGUCUGCUCAGCAGCUCCAUUCCCUGAAGCCUUGCUAAUUGCCAGUUAUUUUCUCCUCAUUUUCUUUAUUUCACUUGGGAUAUUUUUCAGUCUCUGAAAGAUCUGUACCACAAUCUGCUCUAUCAUCUAUUUAUUUGUUUCCAUUUUUCCUUGAUGAACCUAGGAUUUGGAUCUUGUCUCCUCUUUUAGGUCAAUGCUUGGAUGUCCUCCUCCACAUUUCUUGCAGGCUGGAGAAGCAGGGUGUACCACAGCCUGUGAAGAGACAGAUUCCCUUUUAUUUUUUCUAGUUCUAGCACUUGUGCAAUCCUACUCCUACUUUCCUGAUGGUGAAAAUUGCUAAAUGGAAAAUCUGGCUUUCCAUUUAGUGACUCCAUAAUUUCAGUUUAUAUUUAGGUUAUAUGAGCCCAGUGCUGAGCCCAUGACUCACUGCAGAAGCUGUGAAAGAACAUAUGGUCUAGAAAAUCUCUGAAGGUAUGAGGGGACUGAGCACAGUAAACUGCCCCACAGAUCUGGUGUCUUCACUGGCUUGUCUGAAGCUGUGAUAAAUUCAAAAGUGCUAGGAAUCUUUGUUUCCUCUGGAAAAUUAUUAUUAACUCCACUGCAUUCUAUAGGUGCUGCCAGGCCCCUGAGAGCACUAAGAUGCCCUACCCACCCUCAGCUGAGGCCCUUCCCCCACACCCUGCCCAGGACUCCCAUUUCAGCUCAGGUUGGCCAUCCUGAUUUAAGCUAUGACAUAGUUGUGACUGUGUGACAACCUUCUUCUGGCCUUGUCUGCUGGCUGGAUCCCCUGUACAGACUCCAGCCCCAGAGUUUCCUAGUUCAUCACUUGCUUUGCCUGUGACUGUCUGAAGGCUCUAUUAGCAUCUCUAACACAGAGCAGAGCAACCACUGGGAGUUUCUCAGCCUCAAGGGAACAGCCAUCCCUUGCUAGAGCCCUGACACCCAUUUGGCCAGUCUGAAGGUCAAAAGGAAAAGACAUCUAUAAAAUGCCAGUGUUAAAACAGAGCAAUGAUACUAAAAUUGUACGGAAUCACCUCAAGUUAUCUUUUCUUCCGGCAGAGCUUCUCAGUGUGCAGCUCCAUGGCAGCUUUAUCAUCGUGAGGAAGUUAUUUACGGAAGGCACUGUAGGUGGGAAAAAAAAAUUCCAUCCAUUUGAAAAGCUGGCUGUUUAUGCAGCUCCUCUGUGUUCUAGAUAUCUCUGAAGAGAAGCUGCUGUUCCCAUAACACUCUGGAAGAGCAACAUAAACUCAAGGAACUGACUUAUGCCCUAUUUCCACUAAGUCAUGCAAUUUGGAAAGCUUCAAAAGCCUUUAGCAAUCUGAUGCAAAUGUCAAGACUAAAGUGAACCUAGAAAAAAUACUGCUUUCUCAGAAGGAUCAUCUGUAGAAUGAUGGGAAAAGGAAAGGAGAAGUGUGUUUUGGAAAGCUACUCACUGAUUCACAAAG
This is a non-coding RNA of Taeniopygia guttata (zebra finch), 1615 nucleotides long. Lineage: Eukaryota; Metazoa; Chordata; Aves; Passeriformes; Estrildidae. The record is from RefSeq and is a predicted model, not a curated record.